RNAcentral lists this transfer RNA (72 nucleotides) under Planctomyces sp. Its description in RNAcentral is "tRNA-Thr". It matches the Rfam family "tRNA". Rfam says of the family: Transfer RNA (tRNA) molecules are approximately 80 nucleotides in length. Their secondary structure includes four short double-helical elements and three loops (D, anti-codon, and T loops). Further hydrogen bonds mediate the characteristic L-shaped molecular structure. tRNAs have two regions of fundamental functional importance: the anti-codon, which is responsible for specific mRNA codon recognition, and the 3' end, to which the tRNAs corresponding amino acid is attached (by aminoacyl-tRNA synthetases). tRNAs cope with the degeneracy of the genetic code in two manners: having more than one tRNA (with a specific anti-codon) for a particular amino acid; and 'wobble' base-pairing, i.e. permitting non-standard base-pairing at the 3rd anti-codon position. Lineage: Bacteria; Pseudomonadati; Planctomycetota; Planctomycetia; Planctomycetales; Planctomycetaceae. The record is from RNAcentral. RNAcentral also lists the same sequence under 3 other names.
GCCGCUGUAGCUCAGUGGUAGAGCGCAUCCUUGGUAAGGCUGAGGUCACGGGUUCAAGUCCCGUCAGCGGCU